AUGUUGAACUUUCCGAGAAAAUGUUGUGGCAAAUAAGUUUAGGAAAAUUGGCUCAUUUUGUGGGAAAAUCGUAUGACAUUCGCACUGACGUAUUUAGUUUUAAAACGGAAACCGCAUGUUCAGUAAAACGGGGCAAUUACUAAAGUGGGCUUGACUUGUGAGGGAUAUUGAUACAUCAUAAUAUUUUUCCACGAUUCUGUUAAUUAAUCUUUCUCAUGGUUUCAGUGUAUGUGAUAGGUUUGGACGCACAAGACAAAAUAAUAUUUUCACAUUCAUGAAUCCGAACUACAAAUCGACCUCUUCAUCCUCCCUCGGAGGCCGCUCAAUUGAUAGGAAACCAAUGAUUCAGGGAAAAGUUCACUACGAUAAAGCUAUGGAUCAGGUCUACCAAGAGGAAGAGAGCCGCGAGCAGUGCGUUUUGCGGGCGAACCGAUCGCGGGGGAGUAGCAGACAUCAGGAGCUGAUCGAACUCCCGUCGACUUUCUAUCGAGCUCCACCGAGACCGCCUAAACGGGCCGAACUCUACGCCUGACCCGACGACGACCCUCAGACUUGUUAAAACUGCUCACUUUAACUUUAAGUUUUUUCAUUUUAAAUAUGACUAUUUUUUAUAGAAUUUUUCUACCAGGCUAGAUUAUUGUGUUUAGCAUCGGGUCUAGUCUCGAUUCGAGUUAGUACCUUGCCGCAAUUCUGCCGGGCUAAGGAAAAACGCCGUAUGAACAUUCGAGAGUGUCAAAUUUUCUCCGAUAUAAUGACCAUUUGGACGUAUUUCUAUCAAACGGAACUAAGCGCCAUAGGGGGAGAAAGGGAGAGGGGGGCUUGGAUUGGCGGCUAUACUCGUAAUGCUUUUCUAUGGCGCUUAUAGUUCUGUUUGACAGAACGCGCUAUCAGGGACUCUAAAAUCCUCAAAGGAACUCAAUUUGGCGCUUAGUUCUGUUUAACAGAAAUACGUCCAUUUUGAAAGGGAGUUGUGCAUAUACUUCCUUAAAAUUUUCAGAAAUUUAAGAUUAAACUGCGAACAAUAUUGUCCGAAAAAUUGGAAUAAAAAUAUUCAUAACUUUUCCAAUAAAUUCGUAUUUUAUCAAAAGAAUAACUUGGCAACGUCUGAUGGGACUUACGGCGUUCCUCCUUAGCACGGCAGAGUUGGCAUCUUGAGUCGAAUUUACGCGGGUGGAUUUGGCUCACAUUUUGGAACUGGGGGGGGGGGGGUUGCAGCCCCAAAAGACAUUAAUUUUAAGACUUGAUUAAAGUUGAAUCCUGUGUCACCUUGGUUUUAUUUGACUAAGGUUUUUCCCCCAUGCGCAACGCGGUAAUCAGUAGCUGGGGCUCAAUGUGACAAGUUGCGUAGAUUCAUACCUGAAUAAUAGACCUUAAACCUGACAAAUUAUAUUAGAGUAAUGCUAAGACUGUGAAAUUGUUUUCAUUUCACUUAAAAACGAUUUUGUGUACCUCAAACAUUUUCCUAAGAAAUAGUACAUCGAAAUCGGACCCCUUCUGCCAUUCUAUUCUUGAAUUUUUACCCCCAUUGAAGCUGAUCAACGCUAUCACUAAAUUUGAGUGAUUGCCCGACAGAGUUUAUUGUAAAAAUUGGUUUGAAAAUUCGAAUAGCGUGAGGUAAAGGAAAUGCAUUGCAAUGUUUACACAAGUCCCGAUAAUGGUGCGUUCUUAUCUCCUGGUGAGGUCCUUGAAGAAUCAUACUGUAAAAAAUACAAUUAUUUGAUAAUUAUUUCUGGAUCUAGGCAACUUGGCAUUUUUUUUUUUUUUUUUUUUUUUUUUUUUUUGUUACACGAAUAGUUUUAUUGAUUGAAAACUGGACGUAGACAAAAUUUUCAAGAAAAAUAAACAAAAAACACCGAAAAUUGUAGGUCACUAUAAUUGUCGGGAAUCGGAUGAUUAGACCAAUUUUUUCCAUAGCAGGAUUUUCAAGUUAUUGCUGAUGAUCCAUUCAGUAUGUUAUACGUAACCUGGUUUUGUUACCGAUUAGAUGUAACAUUGAAUCCUCAAAAAUGAGCGACACUUUUUUGAGCGAUUGGCUUCAUAUAUGUAUUUAUAAAUAUUUUCAGGGUAAAAAGUAGAGAAAAUAACCUUUUUCCCAUGGGUGUAUAGAUGAAAGGAUUUCCAUGGCUUUAUUUAUUGUAAACUAGCUGUAAAGUUAAUACAAUGCCAAUGGAGGUUAUCAAGGUUCCAGAGAGUAAGUGAACUUCUUGUGAUCCCGAGAAAAAUGCGCCUAAUGUUAAAUUACUAUACGGGAACUUACGACACGAAUAUACUUUUAAUCUCAAGUUCGAGCUCUGAAUGAUAGAGGGACAUCCAACGCUUUUUAUAAAAACAUUAAACUUAUUUUCCCACUAUAAUCUUCAUGCAAGGCAUUAAAUCUAGUAGCUUGUGUCACACUAUCAAAGCUAGCCAUCAAAAUAUCAAGAUCAGGUGUUGUGAUUGGCUUAUAUGAAAACUUAAACCAAUCACAGCACUUGACCUUUUAAUGACAUUUUAAUGGAGUAUUUUGAUAGUGUGACACAGGCUAGUGGCUUUUAAUUUCCCCUAUUAUAUUCGUCGCUCCACUGACGUAAGGGUGUAUAUCCUGUGUCACAAGAUCAAUAUACUCCAUCAAAUGUGAAGGUCAAGUGCUAUCAUUCGUUCAAGUCAUCGAAUAGGCCAAUCACAACACCUGACCUUGAUAUUUUGAUGGUUAGCUGUGACUCGGAAAUCGAGAUACGCCCUUACGGGCCUCAGAGGGACGAUGAAUUGUAUAUAACUUUUAUAACCAAGCCCUAGGAAGUAUACCACCUUCUCAAAUGGAAACUUCUCCGAAACAAAGAGCAAACAUGUAAUUAUGACAUAGGUGUGUUCACUGUUCAAAGAGGUUUUUAUAACUAAGAAAAAAACUGGUGUUAUUGUUUUAAUUUGCUCAAUUUUACCUGAUCAUUACUUUUUAUUAGGUUCUCGUUUAAUAGUUUGAAAGAAUUGCGUUGAUUUUCACUUUGCAUCGUAUAGGUGUAGCACUAUCCGUUAUUUCAUUGAGGUCUUCUCGCUGAAUAUAGUUAUCAGCGCGCGUUGACAGAUACUAAAAAUAGUUACAUUCGUUACUGACCUAUGUAAUUACCUGACUUAUGUUUCUUUAAAAGUACCUACUAGGGACUCGUUGCUGAAUUUGCAUACUAUAGGAAUAAAAAAUCUCUGACCUGUAAAAAUUCUUCCUAACAACUUGAUAAGAUUCUGACGCACAUUUGGCUGUGAAGGCUUUCCUUUCAGUGCAAGUUUAUCAAAGUACUUAUGUACAUAUUUUUUAUGAUACGUUUUUCCUGAUAACUAAUCCAUUGACAUCGGUAGAUGUAAUUUUGCAUUUAUUUUCGAUAAUUUUUUGUCACUAAAAAUUAAAAGAAUUUAUUUAUUUUUCAAAUGAUUUGAUGAUGAAUUAAUUUAUUUUGUUAAAGCUUAGAUUUUAUCAGUGGCUACCAUCACAAGCUUGAGGGGAAAACGGCAAAUUUUGAAAAAAACAAGAGUCACCAUGCACCUUAAAAGUUGACCAGUUCUAAUUAGUUUGGAAGUUGGCAUAUUCAAUUGAGAAUGUAAGGUAGUCACCCUGGGAAACUGUACACCUCCUUGACUCUUAUGCCUACAGUAAGACCUUAGGUACUAUCUGAGAUGGUGAAAAUAUUGAUUUGAAAAUGAAACGGCACAUUUGAAAACUGGUUUCACUCAAAGCUAAAAACAUACGUAUUUAUACACUUAAAGUUACUAUUUUACACGCCUUUAACAAUGUAAAAUGUCCACUCAUAUUCAUUAUACAAGCUUAUAAUUUUCAGUCUUGAGGAUUUUCUUAGCUCGGUCGUUUUUAAAUUUUUCGAAAUUUUCGGUCAACAAUGUUCGACAAAUUGACGACAAAAAAGAUAGAUGGAAGUUUUGAAACUUCACGAACCAUUCCCGUUAAAGUUAAUAUUUUCUUUCGUUGUGCUUUAGAUUUUUCACCCAAGUAUUUCAAUCCCUUGAAGAUACUACCUCCAGUAAUUCUCAAAAGCAUGUAUAUAUACAAUCUGCCGAGCAUAAUUAUCCUUUACACUAUACAAAUGAAUCACAAAAUCAACCCAUUGUUGCAUCUGUUACACUAAUGGGUUCAAAUAUGCAUUUCCGUUUGCCAAAAAUUUUCAAAGAACAAGUGGAUCGUACAUGUAUUAGCAAAAAGGAACCAGCGCAGUUACAGUGUUUUCAAAAUUGUGCAACUUCUCAUUUUCUUUUAAAAAUACUCGUUUUAUGUACAAUAUUAAAAUUUACACAAUUUUUUUUUCUUGAAAAUUAACCAUUUUUUGGUAGGAAGCCAAAACUAUUCGAUACUCUCGGAGAUUUUUUAGAUAAUUAUGAGGAAGCAACAUUUUUACAACACUGUGAUCGUCUUGGUUCCUUUUUGCUAAAUGCGAUCCAAGUGUUAAAUGAAUUAGUCUGAUGAUGUAAGAGAAAUUUUAGUCUUAACCUUUAAAACUUGAAACAAGGGAAUGCGUUAUGAAGAUGGUGAUGCCAACUCCUUGUCACGAGAAAAAAGUUAAUCAUAGUCACGAAGAUAAUUUUAACUAGAGACAGGGUUUAUUUUAUACAUUGCCUUUCCCGAUGGCAUGAAUAUAUAUAUAUAUUGCGAUAAUAAUGAUGACUGAGGAUGAAUUGAAAGGGCGAUUGCAUUUUUAUGGAAAUUAAUUAUUUAUACAUAUAUAACAAACCAAGAAGAUGGUGCUAUUUUUUUUUCUAUAGUAAAUUUAGACGGGCCCUCUUUCAUUAUUAUCUGAAAUUCGCUUUUGAUCAGGUAAUGUAAAUUUUGGUUCUCACGACCAUUAUACGUUAAUUUACUCACUCGUGAGUUUUUCUUCCUCUUUUCAUCAGAUAUAAAAGAAAAUGAAGAACAUUCUGAUGGCUGAAAAUUGACCACUCUGAAGGUACUCCCGAUCCCAGGUUUCUUGGAAAAACGAUUGUAAAGUUAACAAUUAUUUUAUUAUCAAAUGUGAUAUAUUCGUAAUAUUUCAAAUUAGACGAAGUGGAUUAUGUUGAAUUCUAUGUUUAAAUGUCCAUUAAUAUCUUCUAUUUAAUUAUAAAAAAACAAAAAACAAAAAAAUGGUUUCUCAUUUAUCUGAUAGGUUUUCUUCAACUGCAGCCCUGUACAAAUACAUGUUCAUUUGUUUCCUAAGUUUGUACUACUCCUUUUCUGGUCGAGUUAUUAUGCAUCAUGCAAUUAUGAAUAUGUUAUUUCAAAAAAAUACCAGACUGAGAGAAAAUACCAAAAAAAAGCGAAAAAUGAUGAAGUAAUUAAAGCAUACUGCUUUUCGAUUAUUCACAAAAAUUGCCCAUUCAUACUUUCAAACCAUCUUUGAAAGGUAAAUUGACAAAGGCACGCAACUGAGUUUUGAUUUUUGUCUCAGAAUUAUAACCAACUCAAUAGUUCAAAGAAGAGUCUUUCAAGAAUAAUUUAAAUUAGUAAAUGUAAGCC
This 5470-nucleotide long non-coding RNA is filed under the name Bemisia tabaci. RNAcentral describes it as "lncRNA ENSSSA3NGG009692". The record is from RNAcentral. Lineage: Eukaryota; Metazoa; Arthropoda; Insecta; Hemiptera; Aleyrodidae.